This 29-nucleotide small RNA is filed under the name Bombyx mori (domestic silkworm). RNAcentral's name for it is "piRNA piR-bmo-2169360". The record is from RNAcentral. Lineage: Eukaryota; Metazoa; Arthropoda; Insecta; Lepidoptera; Bombycidae.
UGAUCUUCUGCCUUCCACCUGGCCCUGGA